RNAcentral lists this long non-coding RNA (9500 nucleotides) under Brassica napus (rape). Its description in RNAcentral is "long non-coding RNA (BNAP_LNC003860)". Lineage: Eukaryota; Viridiplantae; Streptophyta; Magnoliopsida; Brassicales; Brassicaceae. The record is from RNAcentral.
UAAUUAUGACGAGACUUGAAUUAAACCUGGGAGAUUAGCAGUUAACAACAAACAACCUUAAACGUGGAAAAUGAUCUAUCAAUCAUCACCUUCGUCGAUCGUCCACCCCAGCUGACGAGGUCUCCUCUGAUCCACCACCGCAGCCGUCUCCGCCGGCAAAUCGGCCAGCGUCGCGAGAGAAGAAGACGAAGAAAGCGACUGUAGAUUCGAUGAAGACGACGAAGAAGCCGCCGGGAAGUUCAUAGCCAUGAUGUUUCCCUCGCUCCACGACUUCCGGAUCGGGAACGAGAUGCUCUCCGAGCUCCCGUGGCGUCGGCACGGCUUCCGCCGCUGGUUUUGACUCUUCUUGGCGCCGUCGUGAAGCGCGCAGUCGCAGUUUUUGUGGUAGGGACGCCGCUCGAUAGCGGAGUCGAGGCCGGAGAUGCAGCCUUCGAAGAUGCAGCGGAAUAUUCCGUCGGCGGCGGACAUCGUUUGGUCUUCGAGAUCCGGCGGAGAUAAACGAAGAAAGGAUCUGAGUCUUUCGCGGAACUCAGAUUUAAUUUAACUUAUAUAAAUAAAGACAGGUUUGUUUGUUUGUUUGUGUGUAAUAAGUUAGUUAUCACGUGUACGUGUUUAUUAAAUGGGCCCAAUAAAAGCAGCGCUAACAACGUGUCUGGGCAUUAUAUAAAUAUCGCGUCUUUAUUGGGCCCAUCUCAACCUACGCGUGAUUCAUUUACUUUAACUAAAUUAAAUUAAUCGACGGCGCAAUGGUUGCCAGCCUGGCACUAGUUAAACGAUGUCGUUUCAAGCCAAUCCCUAGAAAACGACGCUGUUUAAGGUGUUCGGCUGAAACGACGACGUUCCCCGGCGAGAGCAGCCUUCUGGAGGCUGGAGACGAGCUCCGGGAGCAACGCAGGCCAGUUUCUCGGGAAAUCGUGCUUACCGAUGACGGCUAGGGCUUCGCUGAGCUGGCUCUGGAUCCUCGGGGAAGAGGAGAGCAUGAGGGAGACGAUGAGCGUCUUGAUCUGCUCCUUCUCCGAAUCCAUAAUCGGAGCGACGCCGGAGUCUGCGGAAGGGAGCCACCGCGAGCGGAGGUGGUUCUUGAAGUUGACGGCGGCGGCGUGGCGAGUCUGCUCCUCGACGGAAGGCUCCGCUACGAGACGGAGCACGGCUAAACCGUAGUUUGGUAGAUCGGCGGCUUCGGAGAGAAAUCUCUCGGCGGCGCGGCGAGGCUCGGGGAUCGGGGAGAGUGUGUGGAGGAAGCACUGCGAGAGGUUCUGGAGAGUCUCCGGAUUCCACUCCAUUGUUCGAUAGAGUUUAAUCGAUCGAUCGCGAAAGAGACGGCGAAGAGAGAGGAGUAGCUAGGGUUUCUGAUUUCAGAGGGAAACAGAAUGAUUUUUAUUUUUAAAGAGAUGACAUGACGGUGGAGAAAAGGUUCGAUGAGCUCGUCGGGUUGUACCCGAGAGACAGAUACGAUUGGGCCUUUGUUCAAUUUUUAAGCCCAUGACUUAAAUGGGCCUAACUUGGAUUCCUCGCGAGCAUUACGACUAUGGUUUCUGAGCAAGAAUCUCUGUCGGUGAGACUUUCUCGUUUCCCGAGUUAGUAUUGAUUGUUUCUUUAAUUAAAUCAGCAAGUAGAAAAACGUGUUGUAUUAGCGUAUUACGUGACGUAUGUGAAAAUUUGUGCAUGGAAUAGAACUAACUGAUUAAUGUAAAUAAGAUAAUAAAGGGACGUAUACUUCGUCGAACAGGGCGUAAAGCCGUCAACGUCCGUGGCGCUGGUCCAAAACAUAACACGUUCUUUGGUCUUCUACAUUUAAAGUAGGGUGUGACUGGUAACCAUCAAGGAACAUUAGGAAUGAUUAGGAAAAGAAUGAAUAGGAAUAAAAUUUUGGGAACGAUGAGGAACAAGGGUUCCUUAUCAAAAUUAACAAGGAACAAAUUUGCAUUAUAAUUCUCUACAAAAAAAGGAAUGGAAAGGAAUGAAGAGGUAUAUUCCUCGCGAAUGGUAACAUUUUUGAGGAACAUUAAGGAAUGCAGUGUUCCACUUCGUUCCCUUGGUUACCAUUCAAACCCGUAGUAUUGCUAUUUGCUUAACAAAAAGAGAGUUUUUUGGUCAAAUAAAUAAUAUACGAAUACUAGUAUUUUACCAGUAAAGUAAGGGUAAUUUUAUCAAAUAGCUUUUUUUAAGUUUUGUCACAAAAAUAACAUUUAAUAAGGAAAAUGACUAAAAUAACUUUUUUUUUAUUUUGAAAAUUUAAUAUUUAUUUUUUUAUUUAAAAAAAUUGAAAUCAUAUCCUCAAAACUAUAUAUAUUAACUCUAAACCUAAGUCUAUAUUAAUUAAUCCUAUGGUAUAAAUGUAUUUCUACUUUUUAAUAUAAAAAAAUUUGAUCAUUUUUUUCAUUGAAAAAUAUUUUUGUGAUAAAAACUUAAAAGGUGAUAUCUUAGAAAAUUUCCUGUAAAAUAAAUAAUACUUCUAGUAAUUAACUUUGAUGGCGUUUUUUUGUUUGUUUGUGCUGCUUGAUUCCAGUGGUUUUAGUGGUGUUUGAAUCCAGAAGGUAAUAAAUAACAAACUCCACACGAGCACGAAUAGAAUUUUGUAGCAGAAUAAUUAACAAAAGAGAAGAUAGUAUAGUAAUGAUAAGAAGAAGCAUGGCAUCUGAUGAUCAGUUUGGUUUCUCAUACUUUUUUAGUUAAGUACAGUACUUAAGCUUGCAUUUCUUACACGUGGGACGUGCUAUAUUACGAAUGAUGCUCACUAAAGUGACACGUGACGCAUGAUGUAUUUGUCGUAAUUUGAAAAUAAAGUUAAAAUGUCGAUUUCAUGGCUCCACCAUUGAAUCACGAAAAACGCGUGAUGGAUAGAAAAAAAUGGAGUUGCGUAAGCCAAUUGAUUCUUUUUUAUUGAUUACUAGUAGUACCUUUGCUCCAAUCGCCUAUCGAACUUUUAUCCGUAACUUCUUACUGUCUUUUAAAAUUUUUUUAAACGCAUAUCAUUAUUAUCUGUCAUACAUAACAGUUUAACAGAUUGCUAUAAUCACUUGUUUUGUUGAAAAAAAAAAAGAAUGUGAGACAUGAGAAGUAAUUGUCUGUAAUAAAGACCACCGUAGUCACGAGUGUCUCCACAUAACCCCACAUUUCUCCUCUUCGUUCUCUACCAUACGUUAGUAGGCUCUAUCCUCUUACUGCUUAUCCAUCAUGCUUACUUUGUUUUAUUCCAUCAAAAAUAUAAAACCUUAUCAUCUAUAUUGUCAUAUUGAGUUCACAUUUGUUUUGGUAACUAGUCUUAAGAAGCAAGAACAUGUUACCAGGCCAAAAUUAUUCUCUUAAAAGUGUAGAAAAUAGGAUUAGACGAAUCUACGUAUGCACGUAUUUUUUAGGGUAAUACUCGAUUAAAUAUGAGGGUUUUUUUUUUUUUGCUCUAUCAAAAGAUAAAAGAAUUUAUAAGUUGGUUCGACUUCCACAUUACUCAAAGAGAACCAACCAUGGCGUUAUCAUAAUAAAUUAAUAACCUACAAAAAGGGUCAACUUUAACAUGUCACAAUACAUCAUGUACAUUUAUAUUUGAGCUUCUGUAUUAUGUAAUUCGAUCGCUGAAAGCAUUUUACAAAGACACGAUAUAAAAACAUAUAGCUUUUUAAUUGUUAUAAUUUAAUUUUCUUACUGCAACCUAAAUGAUGCUCUACUAAUGAAACAAAAAAAGCAAAAAUAAUCGAUUUAUAAGAAAAUGAUACGAUGAAAACGAAUAAGCGUCAUCAUAUGUUUUUACAUUGUUAUUUUUGUAUUAAACAAAAUGGUGCUGCAUGUAUUUUAUACUAUUAUAUUUAUACUACUAUAUCUCCUACGAUUGGUUUUUACUCUUUUCAACAAUUCUGUCAUAUAAUCCAUAAACCCUUCUCGUUAAAUAAAAACUAUCAUUUUAUGUCACUGAUAGAAUCCAUCAAGUGAUCUUGCCCAAUCAUAUAUGAUUAAAUUUUCAAAAUUACUAUCAUGAACGAUAUAUAUAUUGUUACUGAUAAUAUUAUAUCCCAAUGCUAAUUAAUGUGUUUGGCUUUACUUUGCAUGUUUUCAGAUUUCAAAUUCGCUUUUGGUACUGUGAUAUAUAUUAGUAGUUAUCGUUGAUAAGUUUCUCCACAUGUCACAAGACUCCCGUGUAACUAAAUUUAUUGAAGAUAACUCUUUGUAAACUAAUAUUAUUGGUAUAGCAAAAGAUCAUGACCACUUUGUAUAUGAUACAAAGAUGUUAAAUUCAUCCCGGGUGAGUCAAGAUUCCUUCCACACGGGAAUAAAGUUGAUGUAUAAAAUAUUGCAACAUCUUAACGAUGUUAGUAAAUGCUACUCCUAUAAAUAUGUUUUUGGUUAUAACUCGAUAUAAACUUAAGCAAUUAGUACUUUAAAUCCAUAUACAGAUAAUCAUGUAAUAAAUACAUACUAUAUUUUAAUUAUUUGAAUCUAAGAGGAGCAAAACAAUAAGCAUUUCCAACCCAAGACCUUAUUUUAAGAAGAGUAAAACUUCAAAAUGAGGAUUUUUAAGUUGAUUACUCCAACCAUAAAUCAUCAAAAAAAUCUUUAGAAAUUUAUUUAUUUGUAUUAUAAUCUUUGAUAUUAACAAAAGUUACUAAUAAAUAAUUAUAAAGACCAAAAAAAAUAUAAGAUAGUUUUGAGGUUGUGAAUAGUUAAACUUUAAAUUUAAAAUUUCACUAUUCACAACUUUAAAAUUUGAAGAUUUAAGGUUAAGUUAGAAUGAUACAAAACUUCGAUUUGAGAUUGGGUUGGACAUGCUCUAAGAAAACUACAACAACACGACGAUAAGAAAAAGUUAGGUUAAAGUCAUCACAUGUGGUCUCACGGAGCGAGACUCCUUUUGUUGAACGUUACAGUUAGGCAUGAGAUUCACGCAAAUCUUAUGCGACAAAUAAUUUCUCUUCAAAUUUUUAAAAUUAAAAGGAAAACGUAAUUUUAUUAAAGACAUGUAUUAAAUUAGAGGACUUUUAGCGAGAAUAAUAAUAACAGAUAGUCCAAUUAAAUGGACCCACGUUAAUAACGAUGUCUGAAAUAAAUAACCACCCCACCAGAUAAUUCAAACGAUAUUUUUUUCUUUUGGUUUUUAUGCAUGUGAUUGCUUUUUAUUGGUUGAGACAAAAUAAUAUAAACAAUUAUAUUCAGUACUAUUUGGUACACAAAUCUAUUUAAAAAUCUUUCGACCAUGUGAUGAUGAUCUAUACUUUUUUCUAUUUUCCUAAUUAUUAUUAUUAUAUUUUAUUUUAUUUUUUUGGAUGUGAUCUAUACAAAUAUUUGAAUCUCACGUAGUUACAUAUACACGUGUUUAAAUUCACACAUUAAUCAGGUUUGUAGCUCUAAACAUUAGGAAACUCAACCAUGGUUAAGCUCAUAACCCAACUCUAAAACGUUGCAUAAGUAAACCACGGUUGGUUUUUUUAAAAGAGUCUUCUUCUUCAUACAAAACUUACCCAACUCCCCUCUCUCUCUUUCUUCUUCUCCAAACUCUUGUUUUCAUAUACCUCUUGGUUCUGCUGAAGUUUUGUUUGAGAUGAAUACGAGUGAUGUAGUAGGAUGGGAAGAUGAAGAUACUAGAUCCAUGGUUAGCGCCGUGUUAGGAAACUCAGCUUCUGAGUUUCUUACAGCAAACUCAAACUCAAAUCAGAAUCUGUUUCUCGUCAUGGGAACCGACGAUGGUCUCAACGAGAAGCUCUCUCGUCUCGUGGACUGUCCAAACUCCGAGACUUUCAGCUGGAACUACGCCGUGUUCUGGCAGCAGACCGUGUCUAGAUCCGGACAACAAGUCUUGGCUUGGGGAGACGGGUGUUGCCGCGAGCCCAAGGAAGAGGAAUCAACCGUUUGUUAUAACCUAGAGGAAGAGAUGAGGUGGCAGUACAUGAGGAAGAGAGUGCUUCAGAAGCUACACAGGAUGUUCGGUGGAUCCGAUGAAGAUGACUACGCUUUGAGCUUAGAGAACGUUACGGCUACUGAGAUGUUCUUCUUGGCUUCGAUGUAUUUCUUCUUUAACCACGGAGAAGGUGGUCCGGGAAGGUGCUUUGCUUCGGGGAGACACGUGUGGUUGUCGGAUGCGGUUGGCUCUGAUUAUUGUUUUAGGUCUUUUAUGGUUAAAUCAGCUGGGAUAAGGACUGUUGUUAUGGUUCCUACUGAUGCUGGUGUUCUUGAGCUUGGUUCGGUUUGGUCUUUGCCUGAGAAUGUAGAGUUGGUUAGGUCUGUUCAAGCUUUGUUCAUGAGGAGAGUUAAGCCACCAAACAUGAGCGGAGGAAAGAUUCACAAGCUUUUCGGACAAGAACUGAAUAGCUCGGACAAGGUAGCUCAUCAAGUGCAAGAGAAUGUGAAUGUGGUUGUUGUAGAGGAUACUAAUCACAAGGUGAUGAAGACUUCUUGUAAUGAGAAAAGACCAGCGAGUUUAUUACCGGGAGGAGUGUCUGUUGUGGAGGAGAAGAGACCGAGGAAGCGAGGGAGGAAGCCUGCUAACGGGAGAGAAGAGGCGUUGAACCAUGUGGAAGCUGAGAGGCAGAGACGUGAGAAGCUUAACCAGAGAUUCUACGCGUUACGAGCUGUUGUUCCAAACAUAUCUAAAAUGGACAAAGCUUCUUUACUUGGAGACGCCAUCUCUUACAUCAAAGAGCUUCAAGAGAGAGUAAAGAUCAUUGAAGCUGAAGGAGUAAUGACCAUUGGGACAGAAGAAAGUCAAGAAGUUGUUGACAUUCAAGCUGGGGAAGAGGAGGUUGUUGUGAGAGUAGUCUCACCGUUGGAGUCACAUCCAGCAUCAAGAAUCAUACAAGCAAUGAGAAACUCAGAGGUUGUUAGUGUUGUGGAGUCUAAGCUUUCAUUAGCUGAAGAGACACUGUUUCACACUUUUGUAGUAAAGAAUAACAACGGAUCGGAUCCUUUGACGAAAGAGAAGCUUAUAGCAGCGGCUUACCCGCAAACCGGCUUGACGCAGCAGCUAUUACUACCAUCUUCUACUUCACAGGUCUCUGGUGAUAUCUAGCUUUCAAGCUUCUUAUCUUGUUCAGUAUAGGAAGACUUUGAGGUUCAACUUAGAAAUAGAUAAAUCCUUUUUUUUUUCUCUUACUUAGAGUAAAAGUAAUCAAAUUAUAGUAUAUUUGCUAACCUUAUCAUCUGUUAGACUGAAAGUAAUACAGUCUUCGAGUGACAGUCUAUUUAAUAAGUUAAGUCGCAUAUUUGUAUCUUGAGAAUAUAAUUUUUUUUCAAAUCAAAUAAAUAAAUAUGAAAGAUAUUUUGACAUUUUCCUUCAUUUGUGAAUCAUGUCAGUGUAAUAUCUCUAAUGUUUUGUCUAUCUGAAAGCAUAUGUUUGUCCAAUAUCUUAUUAAUGUAUGCAUGAAGCAUAUGAUAUAUUGGUCCUUAAGAUUCUUACCAGUUUCAGAACACCUCACUAGGUAAGUAACUGUGAAUUGGUUUAGAUUGCUAAUGACAAAGUAAAUCAUAUAACUCACACAUGAUUAUUCAUAUCUUAGAUAAUAUUUCACUCAUUAAUAAACCAAUCAUAUAUAAGUAGACCUAUACUUCAUCUUUUUCCAUAUUCCAUGUUAAUUACUUCACCUCAUUUUAAAGUUUGGGCUUCUAGUAAAAUUAUAAAAAGCCCAUCCUCAAAAAGCCCAACUCGGCUUCACUGCUUCUUCUCCUCUCCUCCAUUUCUCAUUUGCUUAGUUUUGUUUUUUCUCCGAUCAGAUCCAAAAAGUAACUUCCCUUCCUUCGCCGCGAUGUCUCUCCGUCGUUCCAUCCUCGGCCUCCACCGCCAAACCCACAACCUCUCUCUCUCAAAGUCUUCACCUUUCCCAAUCACCAACAUCUCCUCCCCUUCCGCCGCCGUGAUCGGAAGAGAAAUCUCCUCGACCCCAUUUUCACUAACCCAGAAACUCAAACCGGACUCCGUUAAUCUCGUCGCCGAUCGUUCUCUCGGGCAAUCUCAGCUGGCUCGUCUCCCGGCUUCUCGAGGCUACAGCAACGCGUCUCUCGUACGGAAGAUCCCUGUUCUGUUCCACAUCAACGCGGGGAUGGAGGAGGUUUUGGCGGAUUACGUUCACCAAGAGCUGACCAGGAAUCUGAUGGUGAUCUCUCUGGGGUUGUUCCAGAUCAUCGUUAUCAAAGACGUCGUCGUGUUUCUUUUCUUCUGAGCAAAAGGAAUCAUCUUUUGGGGUCUCUCUCUAUCACCUGUUUAAUGAAAUAGUGAGCUAAAGUCUCUUCCUUUUUGUUUUAUCUUUCUUCUGUUAUGAAUAAGAACAUUGAUGCUUGUGUUGCUUCAGUUUCUCUUGUUUUCAAAGUUUGAUUCAGUUCGUAUAAGGCUUAAGUGGAAUUAAUAACUUUCCUGGAUUGUAGACAAGAGUAUGUCUCCUGAGGUGGAGUAAUAAGACUCUCUCUAUUUAAGCUUUGAAUUGAAUAAAAGAGAAGUUUUCUCAGCUCUCUUCUUUAUAAUUUUCAUCAAAUUUUGUUAUUCCAUACUCAACAAGUCAUCAGAAGAGAGAAAUCAAACAUAGAGAUCAUUCCUAGGCUGUACGGUUCAUACCACAAUUUAACCAUUGCUUCCACUUGAAAUGUAUUGAUGUGUGGCUCAAGAUUCAUGAUUCAUGCCCUAUUUGUCGAGACUCGCGCGCAUAAAGAUAGAAACCAUGGGUUAUAUUUAUAUGGCGACUAGUGUUUGGUUCAUUCAUGCUUUAGUUGUUGGAUUCUGUUAAAACGUUACAAUGAAUGCCCACUUUUUUAAUUUGUCUAUAUACAUGUGCGAGUGUUUACUAUGGAGUGAAGAUUGUUGUACUUGAUUAUAAGACUAGUGACUGAUAACUUUUAAAAAAAAUGUUUAUACCCAAGCAGAGUGCAUAUAGGAAUCGGUAUCAUUCUGCCCCCACUAUGUUCAUUCCACAACACUUUGUAAAAAACAUUUCUAAGAUCAAACACCCCAUCUAGAAGGAUUAUCACUCUCUGUUUCUUUUGAUAUUUUGAUCGUUGUUUCUUUGUGUUCAUAUAUUGUGGAUCCACUCUGUUACAGACAAAAUACAUGUGACUACUUUCAAAUCCACUAUGUCAAGUCAACACAUGGUGCCCCUUGUGUAAUGACAACGGAUCUUAAAGAACAACAGAGGCUAUGGCUAUUGAACAAAAGUUACACGAACUCAUAAAAGACAUGAUAAUUAACUCAACAUCGCAAACAAACAAAAAAAAAAGAGUCCACAAAAUAUCUUCAAAGUUUUGAUUAUGUUUAUGGAAGAAACUACAUAGAACAUAUUAUGACGAAAAUUAAUUAAAUCUCGGAGAUUAGCAGUUAACAACCUUAAACGUGGAAAAUGAUCGUCAUCAUCAAUCAAUAUCAUCAAACAUCUUCACCUUCAUCAAUCGUCCAUCCCAGCUGACGAGGUCUCCUCUGAUCCACCACCGCAGCCGUCUCCGCCGGCAAAUCGGCCAGCGUCGCGAGAGAAGAAGACGAAGAAAGCGACUGCAGAUUCGAAGAAGACGACGACGAAGCCGCCGGGAAGUUCAUA